This 515-nucleotide ribosomal RNA is filed under the name uncultured Duganella sp. RNAcentral's name for it is "bacterial SSU rRNA". It matches the Rfam family "Bacterial small subunit ribosomal RNA", at positions 522 to 1035 of the family's 1533-position model. Lineage: Bacteria; Pseudomonadati; Pseudomonadota; Betaproteobacteria; Burkholderiales; Oxalobacteraceae. The record is from RNAcentral.
AAUACGUAGGGUGCAAGCGUUAAUCGGAAUUACUGGGCGUAAAGCGUGCGCAGGCGGUUUUGUAAGACUGUCGUGAAAUCCCCGGGCUCAACCUGGGAAUGGCGAUGGUGACUGCAAGGCUAGAGUUUGGCAGAGGGGGGUAGAAUUCCACGUGUAGCAGUGAAAUGCGUAGAUAUGUGGAGGAACACCGAUGGCGAAGGCAGCCCCCUGGGUCAAAACUGACGCUCAUGCACGAAAGCGUGGGGAGCAAACAGGAUUAGAUACCCUGGUAGUCCACGCCCUAAACGAUGUCUACUAGUUGUCGGGUCUUAAUUGACUUGGUAACGCAGCUAACGCGUGAAGUAGACCGCCUGGGGAGUACGGUCGCAAGAUUAAAACUCAAAGGAAUUGACGGGGACCCGCACAAGCGGUGGAUGAUGAGGAUUAAUUCGAUGCAACGCGAAAAACCUUACCUACCCUUGACAUGGCAGGAAUCCUGAAGAGAUUUGGGAGUGCUCGAAAGAGAACCUGCACAC